Molecule: long non-coding RNA, 823 nt
Filed under: Helianthus annuus (common sunflower)
Lineage: Eukaryota; Viridiplantae; Streptophyta; Magnoliopsida; Asterales; Asteraceae
Description: sRNA HanXRQr2_Chr07g0308591
Source: RNAcentral
AUUGCUAACAGUUGCAAUUAGGGUUGGGGUUGUGUGUCUUGCUUGCAAGGAGCGCUCAUAAUCAAUGAGCUUAACAAACAAAACAAUACUGGAAAAGUUACUAGUGUAUCACGAGCCUUUAGGGCAGUUGCCAUAGGCUUGUAAUCGUCGCCUAAUUGAGAAAGGAUAUGGAUUGUGAGGCCUUUAUCAGAAAAUGGACUUUGGGAUAGCGCUGAAUCAGCUUUCAUCUCAUGGAGAAAUUCGGUCACCAUUUUUGCCCCUUUGUUGUUCCUAGCAAGCUUUGAUUUGAGGGAGAUGAUUUGUGACCUGAAAAAACACUCUCUGUUAGGUGUUGAAAGAGUCUGUGGGUUGUCGUAACCGAGGAAAUGAUUGGCUGGGUAGUGUCAGGGCAUCUUCGAAGAAGAGCUCCGAGUAGUAUUUGGUCCUGUCGAAACCAUGGGCGAUAGUUGGGAGGAUUUGUCUUGCUAUCUAAUAAUUUUGGUGAUGCAACCACGGAACCAUCAACAAACUGAUCAAUGUCAAGACGGUGGAAAGGACCUGUUUGCGCCAUACUAGGAAGUUGUGGGCGAGAAAAAAAGGCGUUGGCUCGAAAAGUGCAGAUGAGCAGUUGUGAUCUGAUUACCAUAUAAGAUUGUGAUGCAGUGAAUUUGUUCAUAUUCUUUACAAAAAAAUACACGCCAUAUAUAGGCAGAUUUGAAGAAGGAAUAGGAGCAGUUACAGGAGAGAAUUGUCAAACUACUACAGGUUUAUAUACAUUUAUGUCUUUGACUAAAUCUCCAUAAUGUCGUCUUUCCUAAUAAUGUAACAUGAUUACUUAUGACUA